UUUAUACUCUCUCCGUCUAACAAAGGAUGUCUCAACUUUGACCAAACUUGAAUGCAUCAAUACACUAAGUCAUGUUUAGAUACAUCCAAAUUUUGAUAAACUUGAGACAUUUUUUGUUGGACGGACGAAGUACGUU
Molecule: non-coding RNA, 136 nt
Organism: Brachypodium distachyon (stiff brome)
Lineage: Eukaryota; Viridiplantae; Streptophyta; Magnoliopsida; Poales; Poaceae
Source: Rfam